RNAcentral lists this ribosomal RNA (580 nucleotides) under uncultured bacterium. Its description in RNAcentral is "bacterial SSU rRNA". It matches the Rfam family "Bacterial small subunit ribosomal RNA", at positions 347 to 918 of the family's 1533-position model. The record is from RNAcentral.
GGCAGCAGUGGGGAAUCUUGCGCAAUGCGCGAAAGCGUGACGCAGCAACGCCGCGUGGGGGAAGACGGCCUUCGGGUUGUAAACCCCUUUCAGGAGGGACGAAGGUUCGCCGGUGAAUAGCCGUGCGGAUUGACGGUACCUCCACAAGAAGCUCCGGCUAACUACGUGCCAGCAGCCGCGGUAAUACGUAGGGAGCAAGCGUUGUCCGGAAUCAUUGGGCGUAAAGCGCGCGUAGGUGGCCAAGUAAGUCCGCUGUGAAAGUCAAAGGCUCAACCUUUGAAAGCCGGUGGAUACUGCAUGGCUAGAGUACGGAAGAGGCGAGUGGAAUUCCUGGUGUAGCGGUGGAAUGCGCAGAUAUCAGGAGGAACACCAAUAGCGAAGGCAGCUCGCUGGGACGUUACUGACACUGAGGCGCGAAAGCGUGGGGAGCGAACAGGAUUAGAUACCCCGGUAGUCCACGCCGUAAACGAUGGGUACUAGGUGUGGGAGGUGUCGACUCCUCCCGUGCCGUCGCUAACGCACUAAGUACCCCGCCUGGGGAGUACGGCCGCAAGGGUAAAACUCAAAUGAAUUGACGGGG